RNAcentral lists this ribosomal RNA (818 nucleotides) under Botrytis cinerea. Its description in RNAcentral is "SSU rRNA". The stretch from base 98 to 818 matches the Rfam family "Bacterial small subunit ribosomal RNA", at positions 1 to 1231 of the family's 1533-position model. The record is from RNAcentral. Lineage: Eukaryota; Fungi; Ascomycota; Leotiomycetes; Helotiales; Sclerotiniaceae.
GAAUGUAUAGCUCCGGCUAACUAUAUUUAGUUUUUAUUAUGAUAAAUUAAAAAAAUGUAAAUAUUUUAUAUAUUGAAAAAAUAUAGUAUCGAUUUUGUCGAAUAAAGUUCUAGAUAGAAUACUGAUUAUGACUAUUUUCUAUCUAUAUGUCUUGACCAAAUUACGUGCCAGCAGUCGCGGUAAUACGUAGAAGACUAGUGUUAUUCAUCUUUAAUAGGUUUAAAGGGUACCUAGACGGUAAAAUUAGUCUAAAAUAUGAUACGGUUUUACUAGAGUUAUAUAUAAGGAGGUGAGUAUUUAAGGAGUAGAGUUGAAAUUCAGUCAUACCUUAAGGACUGGUAAUGGCGAAAGCAACCUUUUAUCUAAUAACUGACGUUGAGGGACGAAGGCUCGGGUAGCGAACAGGAUUAGAUACCCUGGUAGUCCAAGCAGAAAAUUAUGAAUGCCAUAGAUUAGAAUAUUUUUAGUUUAUAAAUGAAAGUGCAAGCAUUCCACCUCAAGAGUAAUGUGGCAACGCAGGAACUGAAACCAUUAGACCGUUUCUGAAACCAGUAGUGAAGUAUGUUAUUUAAUUCGUCGUUACGCGAAAAACCUUACCACAAUUUGUAUAGUAUCCCUGAAAAGAUACUACAAGCGUUGCACGGUUGUCUUCAGUUAAUGUCGUGAGAUAUUGGUUAAUUCCAUUAAAUUAACGGAAACCCUUGCUUUAUUUGCAAAAUUUAUAAAUAAAGUAGUUCACCAGUACAUCGGAAAUGAUAACAGGGACCAAGACAAAUCAUCAUGGCCUAAAUAUUGUGGGCUAUAGACCGUGCCACAUA